RNAcentral lists this ribosomal RNA (344 nucleotides) under uncultured eukaryote. RNAcentral describes it as "SSU rRNA". It matches the Rfam family "Eukaryotic small subunit ribosomal RNA", at positions 595 to 945 of the family's 1831-position model. The record is from RNAcentral.
UAGCGUAUAUUAAAGUUGUUGUGGUUAAAACGCCCGUAGUUGAAUCUUCGGUCUUGAAGCUCGGUAACUCGUAAGGGUUUAACUGAGUCUUCUGGCCUAAAUUUUAGUAUUCUCCUGAUGCUCUUUAUUGAGUGUCUUGAGUUGCUAGAACGUUUACUUUGAAAAAAUUAGAGUGCUAAAAGCAGGCUAUAUGCUUGAAUAAAGUGCAUGGAAUAAUGGAAUAGGACUUUAGUUUUAUUUUGUUGGUUUUCGAAAUUAAAGUAAUGAUUAAGAGGAACAGACGGGGGCAUUAGUAUUGUUGCGUUAGAGGUGAAAUUCUUGGAUCGCAGCAAGACUAACAACUG